Molecule: ribosomal RNA, 187 nt
Rfam family: Bacterial small subunit ribosomal RNA
Source: Rfam
GAUCAGCAUGCCGCGGUGAAUACGUUCCCGGGCCUUGUACACACCGCCCGUCACACCACGAGAGUUUGUAACACCCGAAGUCGGUGAGGUAACCUUUUGGAGCCAGCCGCCUAAGGUGGGACAGAUGAUUGGGGUGAAGUCGUAACAAGGUAGCCGUAUCGGAAGGUGCGGCUGGAUCACCUCCUUU